GAUAGCUCAGUUGGUAGAGUAUGAGACUCUUAAUCUCAGGGUUGUGCGCUCAAGCCCCACGUUGGGCA
Podarcis lilfordi (Lilford's wall lizard) is the source of this 68-nucleotide non-coding RNA. The record is from the annotation of a GenBank genome assembly. Lineage: Eukaryota; Metazoa; Chordata; Lepidosauria; Squamata; Lacertidae.